Molecule: long non-coding RNA, 2313 nt
Organism: Pan troglodytes (chimpanzee)
Lineage: Eukaryota; Metazoa; Chordata; Mammalia; Primates; Hominidae
Exons: 3
Source: RefSeq, a predicted model, not a curated record
AUGUGGGUGGGUGGCUUGGGAGGGCUCAGGGGGAAGGGUGGGGGAGGGCUGGCUUUUGAGGGCAGUGGGUUCCCAUGCCCAGCCCCAUGAAGGACGGGGUUCAUGGAAGACCCCAGUAUUGCAAGUCUGUAGCCAGCACGGGGGGCCUGCAUUCCUUCUGCAGGAGAAGCACGAAAGAGCUAUUCUUCUCAAUUCGCCAAGGAGGAAACUGAGGCCCAGCAGGGCAGGAGAGCCCGGGUUACAGCGCAGGCGGGAGGCUGAGCUCAGCCUCAAGUCCCAUCUGCACGCCCAAGGUGCGGCCCCCCUUAGUAGGAGCCGCGACUCAGGGUGAUGCUGUUUCUCGGCCCAGGGGGCAAAAGAGCCCGACCGGAAGCUGCUCUUGGAAGACAGAAGCCCAUGUGCAGGGAAUGUGCCAGUGCCCAGCAGCACUGAAUAUGCGGUUGCUGAAUGAAUGAAUGAAUGCAGGCAUGUGUGAAUGAACAACAGAGGCUGGGUCUUGUAUACUGUGGCUGGCUGUGGCCAUCAGAUCCAAGGAUACAGAAGCUGAGACCCAGGCAGGCCAGCAACUUAAACACCACAACCCCCAACUGGGAGCCUCAGUUUUCUCAUCUGUGAGAUGCCGACAAAGACAUCUGGACUUAGGUCACAGGAUUCUUGUGGGGAUAAAAUGUGAUGGAUGAUCUGAAGGUAUUUUGAAGACUUCCUUCUGCAUAACUGAGGGAGGUCCUGGAAGGUGCCUCCCUAAGGAAGAUAGGAAUAUGGUGGAAGAGAAAUACUUCCCUGAGGCCCCAUGGGAAAAUGUGAAGGACAAAGGUUCCCUUCACAGCAGGAGUGUCCUGGAAGACCUGUCCCAGGCGCCAUGAAUGGCAGCCUAUAUCUGGUCCACACCUGCCUCUAUGAACCCCUUCCUCAAACUCCAACAAAAGGGCAGAAGGGGGAAAGCAAUCCUAUGUCCUUUAACCUUUAAUACUGUCCUGGGACUCCGGGCUCUGGUUUCUUCCGCUGGUCUCUGGAGUUGGUACUCCAGGAACUAAAUUCAUAUCCAUAUGAAAUAUCUUGAUCACUCAAGGGAAUCUACAAUGUUCACUUUCUCUGAAAAUGGGCUAAAUGAAAUCAGUGGCCUGUAAAAUUUCUUUUGGUUUUGAGACUCUUCAAAUUAUAGUUAAGAAGGGAACAUCAGUUUUAAACUUCCUUUGUCUUCUAAAAAAAUUUUAAAAUCAGGUCACUACAUAUCAAUGUACGAUUAUGGGGCACGUUCCAUAAUCUACAAGCAGAUCAUCUCCCACAGCAGAUAAGCCAGGAAAUACUAGGCAGAUACCAGCAAAUCAGGUAUCUCUGGAGUGUCUGGGCUUGUUUGGGGCACACAGAUCCCAGACCAUGGACAACCACCAGUUUCAAGGAAGAAAGUAGAAACACUCAAAGAUUAACAGAGGGAAAUGGAAACAAAUUGCAUUCAACCUGGCCUCUGGCUUUCAAGUCAUUUCUUCUUAUACCUCUGCACAGAAACAAUGAAGUCAUUUCCACCCUUGAACUUGGGAAUGAAGAGAGGCAAAAGUCACAGGCUGGGAACCGCAGCCUGAAUUGGAUGAACUUAUCUUGUGGUUGACUUGUGCAUGUAUGAGUUUCACGCCUGAGAACAGGAUAGGAACUUUUGAAAUGCAGCCCACGCCCUCUGGCCCUCGUGUGUACAGAGCUGCCUUCGUUGGGUGACUCAGGGUAAUGACUGAGCAACAACUGUUGGCUUGAGUGGUGCCAGGGAUGUCCUGGGAGGCUCUCCCUGCCAUGCUGCCUGCCCUGCACCAACAGGCCCCUGCUCCACGGCUGCAGCCUCCAGCCUGUAGCCUCCAGCCUGUCUGGCCAUCUACCGGCAGAUGCUGCUCCCAGGGUCUGCCUCCCACAGCGCGCGCCUCUGAUUCAGCCUUCCAAGCUCACAAAACAAAGUACGUGUAACGGAAGUGUUGUGUGGAACCCAGGAGCUGAUGGUCUCAUCUGGGCCCAGCUGCCUCUUUGCAGACUUUAUGGCCUUCACCUGGGUUUGCAGGAGGCAGAUAGUUUCUGGGUCUGGAUAAGCAAUGGGUCCUGGAACAAAAACUCUAGAGACCGGGGGCUAUUCAAGACAGGCUCCAUUUCUUAUUGAACAUUCAGUUCACCAUCAGGUCUUGUCUAGUCUACCCCCAGAGCAUCCAUUUCUCCAUCACCUUGGCCACCACUACCAUCCCCUGGCUCCUGGCUGGUACCUCCAUGGUCCCACCUUUGGGACUUUGAGUAUGCAAUGUUUUUGAAAGACUCAGUCCCUACCCAUUAUGGGUAGAA